UACGUCGGGGGCAAGCGUUGUCCGGAAUCAUUGGGCGUAAAGAGCGUGUAGGCGGCUUGGUAAGUCCGCUGUGAAAGUCCAGGGCUCAACCCUGGAAUGCCGGUGGAAACUGUCAAGCUUGAGUCCGGAAGAGGCGAGUGGAAUUCCUGGUGUAGCGGUGAAAUGCGCAGAUAUCAGGAGGAACACCAAUGGCGAAGGCAGCUCGCUGGGACGGUACUGACGCUGAGGCACGAAAGCUAGGGGAGCAAACAGG
RNAcentral lists this ribosomal RNA (253 nucleotides) under uncultured bacterium. RNAcentral describes it as "partial 16S ribosomal RNA". It matches the Rfam family "Bacterial small subunit ribosomal RNA", at positions 524 to 776 of the family's 1533-position model. The record is from RNAcentral.